UGCGUAGGCGGCCGAUUAAGUUGGAUGUGAAAUACCCGGGCUUAACCUGGGGGUGCAUCCAAUACUGGUUGGCUAGAGUGCAGGAGAGGGAAGCGGAAUUCCUAGUGUAGCGGUGAAAUGCGUAGAUAUUAGGAGGAACACCAGUGGCGAAGGCGGCUUUCUGGACUGUAACUGACGCUGAUGCACGAAAGCGUGGGGAGCAAACAG
This 207-nucleotide ribosomal RNA is filed under the name uncultured bacterium. RNAcentral describes it as "partial 16S ribosomal RNA". It matches the Rfam family "Bacterial small subunit ribosomal RNA", at positions 568 to 775 of the family's 1533-position model. The record is from RNAcentral.